UACGUAGGGUGCAAGCGUUAAUCGGAAUUACUGGGCGUAAAGCGCGCGUAGGCGGCUGUCUAAGUCGGGUGUGAAAGCCCCGGGCUCAACCUGGGAACUGCAUUCGAUACUGGACGGCUAGAGUAUGAGAGAGGGAGGUAGAAUUCCACGUGUAGCGGUGAAAUGCGUAGAUAUGUGGAGGAACACCUGUGGCGAAGGCGACCAUCUGGAAGAUUACUGACGCUGAGACGCGAAAGCGUGGGGAGCAAACAGGAUUAGAUACCCCGGUAGU
This 271-nucleotide ribosomal RNA is filed under the name uncultured archaeon. Its description in RNAcentral is "partial 16S ribosomal RNA". It matches the Rfam family "Bacterial small subunit ribosomal RNA", at positions 524 to 794 of the family's 1533-position model. The record is from RNAcentral.